UGCAAGUCGAACGGAAAGGCCCUGCUUGCAGGGUACUCGAGUGGCGAACGGGUGAGUAACACGUGGGUGAUCUGCCCUGCACUUUGGGAUAAGCUUGGGAAACUGGGUCUAAUACCGGAUAGGAACCAUCUUUAGUGAGGUGGUUGGAAAGUUUUUUCGGUGUAGGAUGAGCUCGCGGCCUAUCAGCUUGUUGGUGGGGUAAUGGCCUACCAAGGCGGCGACGGGUAGCCGGCCUGAGAGGGUGUACGGCCACAUUGGGACUGAGAUACGGCCCAGACUCCUACGGGAGGCAGCAGUGGGGAAUAUUGCACAAUGGGCGCAAGCCUGAUGCAGCGACGCCGCGUGGGGGAUGAAGGCCUUCGGGUUGUAAACUCCUUUCGCUAGGGACGAAGCUUUUUGUGACGGUACCUAGAUAAGAAGCACCGGCUAACUACGUGCCAGCAGCCGCGGUAAUACGUAGGGUGCGAGCGUUGUCCGGAAUUACUGGGCGUAAAGGGCUCGUAGGUGGUUUGUCGCGUCGUCUGUGAAAUUCUGGGGCUUAACUCCGGGCGUGCAGGCGAUACGGGCAUAACUUGAGUGCUGUAGGGGUAACUGGAAUUCCUGGUGUAGCGGUGAAAUGCGCAGAUAUCAGGAGGAACACCGAUGGCGAAGGCAGGUUACUGGGCAGUUACUGACGCUGAGGAGCGAAAGCAU
Molecule: ribosomal RNA, 693 nt
Filed under: uncultured Actinomycetales bacterium
Lineage: Bacteria; Bacillati; Actinomycetota; Actinomycetes; Actinomycetales
Description: bacterial SSU rRNA
Rfam family: Bacterial small subunit ribosomal RNA
Source: RNAcentral